This is a small nuclear RNA of Saimiri boliviensis boliviensis (Bolivian squirrel monkey), 106 nucleotides long. Lineage: Eukaryota; Metazoa; Chordata; Mammalia; Primates; Cebidae. The record is from RefSeq and is a predicted model, not a curated record.
GUGCUCACUUCAGCAGCACACAUACACCAGAAUUGGAACAACACACAGAUUGACAUGGCUCCUAUGAAAGGAUGACACACACAGUCAUGAAGCGUUCUGUAUUUUA